Molecule: long non-coding RNA, 547 nt
Filed under: Marmota monax (woodchuck)
Lineage: Eukaryota; Metazoa; Chordata; Mammalia; Rodentia; Sciuridae
Source: RNAcentral
AGAGGGAGGUAUUACACGAAAGGGAAAAUUAAUCAAAGGAGAAACCAAGUCAAAUUAAAGAACUAAUUUAAACAAAAAUGGCUGGGACUACAAAUCAUGUCUCAAUAAUAACCCUGAAUUUUAGUGGCCUAAACUAACCAAUCAAAAGACAUAGACUAGCUGAUUGGAUCCAAAAAGAAAAAAAAGAAAAAAGAACCCAACAAUAUCCUGUCCCCAAGAGACUCAUCUCAUAGGAAAAAACAUACACAGACUGAAGGUAAAAGGAUGGGAAAAAUCAUAACAUACAUGUGGACUGCAGAAGCAAGCAGAGGUUUCUAAUCUCAUUUCAAAUAAAGUAGACUUAAGCUAAAUUUAAUCAAAAAGGAUAAGAAGGACAAUUCAUACUGCUCAAGGGAACCAUACACAAACAAGACAUAACAAUUAUAAAUAUAUAUGCUCCAUUAUUGUUCAUCAAACAACCUCGUCUCAAGCUCAAUUGUCAAGCUGACCACAAUACAAUAAUUCUGUGUGACAUUAACAUACCUCUUUCACAUUGUAUAGAUCUUCC